This 426-nucleotide ribosomal RNA is filed under the name uncultured Nakamurella sp. RNAcentral describes it as "bacterial SSU rRNA". It matches the Rfam family "Bacterial small subunit ribosomal RNA", at positions 354 to 796 of the family's 1533-position model. Lineage: Bacteria; Bacillati; Actinomycetota; Actinomycetes; Nakamurellales; Nakamurellaceae. The record is from RNAcentral.
GUGGGGAAUAUUGCGCAAUGGGCGGAAGCCUGACGCAGCGACGCCGCGUGAGGGAUGACGGCCUUCGGGUUGUAAACCUCUUUCAGCAGGGACGUAUUUAGACGGUACCUGUAGAAGAAGCACCGGCCAACUACGUGCCAGCAGCCGCGGUAAUACGUAGGGUGCGAGCGUUGUCCGGAAUUAUUGGGCGUAAAGAGCUCGUAGGCGGUCUGUCGCGUCGAAUGUGAAAACCCGGGGCUCAACUCCGGGCUUGCAUUCGAUACGGGCAGGCUAGAGUUCGGUAGGGGAGUCUGGAAUUCCUGGUGUAGCGGUGAAAUGCGCAGAUAUCAGGAGGAACACCGGUGGCGAAGGCGGGACUCUGGGCCGAUACUGACGCUGAGGAGCGAAAGCGUGGGGAGCGAACAGGAUUAGAUACCCUUGUAGUCC